This 525-nucleotide ribosomal RNA is filed under the name uncultured bacterium. Its description in RNAcentral is "bacterial SSU rRNA". It matches the Rfam family "Bacterial small subunit ribosomal RNA", at positions 984 to 1509 of the family's 1533-position model. The record is from RNAcentral.
ACAUCCAGAGACUUAGCAGAGAUGCUUUGGUGCCUUCGGGAACUCUGAGACGAGUGGCUGCAUGGCUGUCGUCAGCUCGUGUUGUGAAAUGUUGGGUUAAGUCCCGCAACGAGCGCAACCCUUAUCCUUUGUUGCCAGCGAUUCGGUCGGGAACUCAAAGGAGACUGCCGGUGAUAAACCGGAGGAAGGUGGGGAUGACGUCAAGUCAUCAUGGCCCUUACGAGUAGGGCUACACACGUGCUACAAUGGCGCAUACAAAGAGAAGCGACCUCGCGAGAGCAAGCGGACCUCAUAAAGUGCGUCGUAGUCCGGAUCGGAGUCUGCAACUCGACUCCGUGAAGUCGGAAUCGCUAGUAAUCGUGGAUCAGAAUGCCACGGUGAAUACGUUCCCGGGCCUUGUACACACCGCCCGUCACACCAUGGGAGUGGGUUGCAAAAGAAGUAGGUAGCUUAACCUUCGGGAGGGCGCUUACCACUUUGUGAUUCAUGACUGGGGUGAAGUCGUAACAAGGUAGGCGUAGAUGA